RNAcentral lists this long non-coding RNA (304 nucleotides) under Carica papaya (papaya). RNAcentral describes it as "long non-coding RNA (CPAP_LNC005293)". Lineage: Eukaryota; Viridiplantae; Streptophyta; Magnoliopsida; Brassicales; Caricaceae. The record is from RNAcentral.
AGCACCCCACGGGGAAUGAUUGGGUCGAAUAAACUUCUUCUGCCAUAGUGCAGUUAUUUGAUGCACAAGUUCCACAAGUUUUAUUCGUUUCGUCUGAUAUGUAGGAUUUGAAAUAGGUUGGGUUCCGCAUAUAAGAUUAAUAGAGAACUCAAUCUUCUGUAUAGCAUGUAGACUAAGUGAAUCUGCUCGAAAGACAUUCAGGAAAUUGAAGACCACUAGGAUUGUCUGUAGUGAUGGUUCAAAGUCCAUAUUCCUAGGCAUCAACAACUCCAAAUUUGAAAUAACUCCAAAAAUUUUCACAAUG